This 15986-nucleotide long non-coding RNA is filed under the name Coffea arabica (coffee). Its description in RNAcentral is "long non-coding RNA (CARA_LNC001326)". Lineage: Eukaryota; Viridiplantae; Streptophyta; Magnoliopsida; Gentianales; Rubiaceae. The record is from RNAcentral.
UACGGGGGAGUGGGAAAAAAAAAAGAAACCAACUGAAUAGCAACCAAAAAUUGCUUUUUAUAUAUGUACAGGAGUUUAUUAUUUAAUGACUUCUUAUAGCUUUAAGAGUUGUACCUUUAAUUGUUCAAUUGUGAAACAUCAUUCUAGGAAAUGUCUAUUAAGGUUUAGAUAAAAUUAGAACAUACCAUGGACAUGUCAAAUUGUUUUAAAUUUUGAGGCUACAUAAUACUUGUGUGCUUCAACCAGCAAGUAAUUCAGUAGGCAUUUAGGUUGAAAAGGUUGUGGUUUAUACUAGGCCUAAGUAAAUCUUGUAACUCUUCUCCUUGGCUCUUGUGAUGUUGCUUUUUCUUAUUUUUCUUUUAUUUUUUUGAUAAAAGGACAAUUUCAUUCCAAUAUUUACACUAAUGGCAAGAACUACAUGCUUUUUCUAAAUGGAGUUUGGAAAAGGAUUAGACAUUGAUUUUACCAUCUUCAGAGCCUAUACUUUUAAAACUGCAUUAUUGAUACAAAAUAACCUUUGCAAUGCUUUCUUACUUACAAAUCAGAAAAUGGAAAAUUUAUGAUGGCCAAUUACUUAAUACAAAUUGAAGAAAAAUUACUUCAAAUGUAUUAGGACUCCAAAGACUGGACUAGCGGGUAGCUCUCGACAUGCUACAAUAUAGUAGUACAUUUUUAGAACUUAUAUUCACAUUUAAAGACAUGCAUGCACUUUUAUACUAGAUAUAUAAAGCACGAGGUUCAUUAUGAUGUGAGUUAUUUAAUUGUUUAUCACUUUUGCCCUUAUCAUAAAAGGAAGUGUAAAUGGUCAAAAUAAUCACUGAGUUAUUUAAAAUGGCAUGGUCUGGUCACUAAACUUUUUCUUUGGCCAAAAAAGUCACUUUAACUCUUUAAAAUUGGUCUUUUGGGUCAUGUUGGCUAAUUUAACCUGUAAACCAACCCAAACAAGGCACAUUUAACCUGCUAUUCUAGGUUUUCAGGUGUAAAAAUGUCCUAAACCUCGUGAUUAAUUCAAAUAACAUUCAACUCCUUUUGCUGCCCAAACGUUUAUCAAUCAGCACCUUGCUAUUAUCAACCAUUAAUUAUUAUAGUGACGUCAGCAAAGGAGAAGUUGUCGAGCGCCAAAAUGCCCUUAUCUCUCUAGGAAAAUAUGACGUCCUUUUCCACUCAACUUUUUGUUCAACAUCCACCAGAAAUUUCUAAACUUCAACUCCAUAUUUCCCCAACCGAGCCGAUAAGAAAGUCCCUUUGCAAGGCAAUCUGCCCAAAUUGUUCUCGCCUUGCAAGAUAGGUCAAGAUUGUUGAAAAGGAAAGUUCAUUUGUUUGCUCGCUUUUUGAUAAGAAUUCCGCAAGUGGUGAAUGGGUGAAAAUAGCAAUCAGAUUAGAGGCCAAAAAAAACGGGCUGACUCAGUCCGACAGCUCAUAGGUAAUUUUUUAAAAAAAAUUGAACAGUCAGCCCCGUUGCCUAUUCGCUAAAAUCAAAGGGCAGGCUGCACUUUUUUUUCUUUUCUUUUUUUCAAAUUUCAGGCCAAAGAAAAGUUUUUUUUGCUUAAAAAAACUCAUCUUGCCCAAUUUACUAGAAGAUCUCUUCCCAAAUUAAAAUUAUAACAUUAUUGUGCUUUAAAAUUAUUACAUGAGUUAUAUAAUUAAAUGGUGAAGUUAUAUAAUUAAAAUUGUUCAUGUAAUCAGUUUUAUUAUGGUAAUUUGAAAUACAUAACAUUGUUGUGCUUUAAAAAAAUAAAAAGCAAAAAAUAGAAAGGAAGGAAAAUUUAAUUAUGUCAAAUGGUAAAGUUUAAAAAUAACGCCAACUAUCAUUCAACUGAUAAAAUUAAAAAACAUGUACAAUAAAUAAUAAUAAUAAUGUCAACGCCUAGUGUGCCUUUUAUCCUUACCCUUACCUGACUCAACCUUCAAAAUUUUUUUUUUUUUAAUAAAUUCCCAAGCCUGCUGUACUUGUAUAGUAGUUGAAGAAAAGCAUGAUGUCAGAUCAACAUUUAUGUGAUUUUUUUUCAUCGAUAUGCAAAAAAAUUUGCUGUUCAAACUCGUACUAGCUCUAAAUUAGCACAAUAACAUGACUUGUAUAGCAGCUGACUUAUGGGCGCUACAAUCCUUUUUCCGUCAGCGCAAUCCACUUGCCAUUUUUAGCUCUUUCUUCAUAAAAAAGGAAGAAAAUAUUUUAUUAACUAAGUUGGUGAAAAUUGUCCAACACGAAAUUUUUCUAGUCUAAACUCUACUACUACCAAAAGUAAUUUUUGCACUUAUAAGAACAAAGGAUUAUAAUUCCUGCCCAAAUAUAUUGGUAUUUGGGCAUUAAAAUCAAAAUCUGGAUAAUUGAUAAUUCAUAACUGGGCGAAUUACUUCCAAUUGGAAGCCAGCAAAAUCUCAAAUUCGACCCAAAAUUCUAAUUUCCUCAAGUUAUCAAUCUAAUGUAUUAGCUUCCCAUGGCUCCAGAAUCCUUUCCUGAUUUACGCUUUAUUAAGGGCUUCAAUAUCAACUGUGACGCCCCAACCAAACCUCUGCUUAGGGAGACUUGAUUGGACGCCUGCAGGGCUCUCAUCAGGACUAUAAAAGAAAUUAAAACCACUAAUUCCUUCAUAAUUAUGAUAUUAACAUAAAAGGCUUUUCAGGAGCAUCCAUUAACACACCUAACAUUCGUUUAACCUAUCAUAUAUAUAUAUAUAUACUAGGAGGGGAAUGUCCGCGCAUCGCACGGGUGUUUGGUGCCUGUGGUUAAAGAAGAUUUUACGGUAGUUCAAGCGAAUAUCAAAAAACUCACGCACAUUGAGUAACAAUAUGAAAUAACAAAAUAUCUAAUGUAUACUGAAAGAUGGAGAAGGAAAUUAUGCAUGCUAUCUUGCUCAGUUCAUAUUUUUUGAAACAAACACUUGUAUAUAAGCUUUUCAUUAACAAGACUAAAUGAACUUUAAACAAAUACCCAAAUGAUUAAUGGCAAUAAACAAAGUAAUUAUCCACUUAAUGAUGCAUCUACACAAUAUUCUUGUUGAUGAAAGUAGCCAACUUUUUUAGCAACGACAAAGCCUAGCCUCAAAAGAUUUGGUUCCAUCCGAGGAUUCAGCAAUGGAUCAUCAACCCCCGUAGAUUUUGGGUGAACAUAAUGCCAAAUGCCCUUAACAUAGGCCUUUACCUGUAAUUUCGUUAACUCGAUACUAAUUAGAUCGUUCCCCAAAAAAUAAGGACAAUUGACAAAAAUCACAUCAAGAUCAAAGCCAUUUAGUAUCUCCAGCCAAACCCUUGAUGCUAUGUUAUGUGCUAAAUUGCCACCAGCACUAUUCCCACCAAAAAACACCCUAUCAAAUCUAGCAUAAUUCCUAAGCCAUACUUCAGGAUCCUCGUCAUUUGAAUGAGGGGCAACCCAUUUGACUGCAAUCUAAGAAUUUUCAUAAGCAAUAGGCAAAGAAUGCUUAGGGGCGAGCCGAUAGUUAAUUGAAACUGCUACAACACUAGCUUCUGCAACUACUACAUUAAGGUGCGCGUGAUAUGUAGGAGAGAAGGCAGAUUUGAUCAAAAAGCUUCCACCAUGUAAGUAGACCAAAAGAGGAAGUUUUGUAUCUCCAAACCUAUUCCAACAAAACCACAUCAUUUAAAUUGUAUAGAACAAUCAACUUUGUGGGGAAACAAUAAUAUCAAUAUUAAAUUGCGCUAACAGAGUAUCCAAUUUUGGAAUGAAACCAUUUAACUAACAAUAGAAAUUACGAUUUUACAAAACAAAUCAUACCAUUAAAAAAAAAGAAUGAAACCUCACCUCAAGUUGAACCACCAAGAAUAACUUCACCAAAGAACCAUAUUGAAAUUCAGAGUACAAUGGCAAUACAAAUAAGUAUUUAUCAGAAGACGAAAGGAACUAACGGAAGAAUGUAAAGGGGCAGACAUUUGAAGAAUUGAAGUUGAAACUAAUGCUCGAUCAUAAAUUCCUUAAUAAACCACAUUGUCCUUGCUUUAAUUGAGAUGAAAAUGACGUUUGAAGUUCUUCAAGUUAUAAUAGCACACAUACAUACUAAUAAUUAUUAUGCUCUCUUGCAUUUGUAUAUGUUUUUAUUUAAUUUUGCCUAUCGUCCUUUGUAUUUAUUUAUCUUCUUUAAUUAAUUUUAUAUUUUCAAAAAUAUAACAUUUUAAAUAUAUUUUAACGAGUGCCUAUAACCCCGUUAGACAGAUAGUAACAUAAAUUAAACUCAAAUCCACCAUACAGAAUCUACAGCUAUGCCAACUAGAAACCUCUAUUUAUACAUAGCAAUUCUAGCUCAAAUGCCACCGUGGCCAUAAGUUUACCAGACUUUUGUUAAGUACGAAUUGCAAAUACCCCUGCAACUUUGACAAUCAGUUUCGUGCUUGGAGUACAUUAGAUGGUUCCCACUGCAGUUCUAGAGUUCCCAAUUGAGCUCGAGAAAACAAAGGAAACUUUAACUCGGGCCCUUUUAAGAGUUUAACAAGGUAGUUUCUACGGUGUCACCGGAGGAAAUAAAGCAAGUGUCCCAAUGAAUAAUAGUCCAAUUUGUAACGGAAUAAUUCAGAAAGUUCAAGCUUCUAUUGGCUCCGAGUUGGUACAAAUUCAACAUUUUAAUACUACUUAGAUAAUGGCCAAGUAAUAGUGCAUCAUAGUUUUAUCUCACAUACUAGUUUCUUUCUCGUGCAUUUGCACGGGUCAUUUUAUAUUCAUCAACACCAUUAAAUAUUACAAUAUAAAUUUCAAAAAUCCAAGUAUUUAUUAAAGUAGACAAACUAUUUUUUAUUUAACUAUUCAAAUAUAGUUUGAGAAUGGAAAAAGAAUACACUAUAUGUAAAACUUAAAAUCAGACGAAUUUUGAAAAGAAUAUGCAAUAUACUAACCAAAAUGAGAGUUAAGUAAGAGCACUAAACAAAAUAUUGUAAACAUUCAAUAUCAUGUUAAUGUAAUUUUUUAAGUUUAAUUUAUUAAUCAAAUUAACGGUGAGCAAAUUGCAAUCAAAAUUCAAUCUAAAAAUAAUUUAGAAACCAAUAUAGUCUAUUAGACCUAUCCAUAUUUUGGGGCAAUAUUUUUUGUAAGAAGGGAAGAGGGAUCAUAACGUGUUUGAUAAUAUUUCAUUAUUAUCCCAUGAAAAGAAAAUAAAGUAAAGUAUAAAAGGAAGAGAGAGAAAACGUUGUAUAUUAUUUCCAUAAAUUGAAAAGGUGAAGUGUAAAAACAAAAUUAUUAUCAUCAUUGCAUAGGGAAUUUUAUGAACCUCUUAUGCUUGAACAUCCAAAAUGACUCUGUAUUCCUUGGUUUCUUCGGAAGUGAAUAAAGGACUUGCCAUGGAUAAUUAUAUGGUUUAAUUAUUCAACAAGUCAAUAAUGGAAAUGUUAAGAGUGGGAAAGAUGAUUGAUUGUGAAUAUAAGUAAACAUAUACAACUUUCCUAUUUUAUGUAAAUACGAAAAUUAAGGAUAAUAAAGUGGUGAUUGAUUAUCAUUAACCAACUUUGCAAGUAUUCUAAAAUAUGACUGCACGUAAAAAGUAGAAAAGUAUAGGAUUAGUUGCUGUCAACCAAAAUAAAACAAUUUAAACCUAACCAAAUAAAUUAGGGUUAAUUACAUUUAUCUCCCCUGAGGUUUGACCAUAUUACCAAUCAAUCCCUGUAAUUUGUCCAAAUAACGGUCUCACCCUUUGAAUGAUCAAACAUUUAACAAAAACCCCCUUAAUACCGAAAAUGCCCUUUUUGAGGCCAUAUUGCAUUAAAAAAAGAACAUAUUUUUAUUUAUUAACCUUCAAAUAAUCCAAAAAAAUAGAAAAAAGUUUUUACUUAUUAUUUUAUAAAAAUCAUAUCUUUGCUUCCAUAAAUAGUUUUGAAUCAAUAAUUAUUUUAAAUCUUAAAAAUAAAUAUUAAAAAUUAGAUAAAUUGAAAGAAAAAUAAAAAAGAAGCAAUUAUUUUAAAUCCUCAAGUAUGGUUCGAAUUUGUGGUUCAAGGCAUGUUGCGGAGAGCACAAGGCAUGUUUUCCUCAAUUCGAACCAUACUCCAGGAAUUAAAAUAAUUUCUUCUUUUUUAUUUUUCUUUCAAUUUAUCUAAUUUUUAAUAUUCAUUUUUAAGAUUUAAAAUAAUUAUUGAUUCAAAACUAUUUAUGGAAGCAAAGAUAUGGUUUUUAUAAAAUAAUAAGUAAAAACUUUUUUCUAUUUUUUUGGAUUGCUUCAGGGUUAAUAAAAUAAAAAUAUGUUUUUUUUUAAUGCAACAUGGCCUCAAUAAGGGCAUUUUCGGCAUUAAGGGGGUUUUUGUUAAAUGUUUGAUCAUUCAAAAGGUGAGACCGUUAUUUGGACAAAUUACAGGGAUUGAUUGGUACUAUGGUCAAACCUCUGGGCAGGUAAAUGUAAUUAACCCAAUAAAUUAAGGUAAUAUGUACACAUGGCAAAAACAUAGGAUGUCCAAUUACCAGAAUGGGAAAUAAAUCGAGAAUUAAUAUAUGUAUAUAUAUAUUUGUUUUAUAUUCCUCUUCAUCUUUGUUGUUUUUUAUUUAUUUAUAUUUUAUUUCCCUUCCAUCUCUUUUGUAUUUGAAGAAAAUUAAGAUUUUGUAGGUCAAAGUAUAGGUUUUCAAAAUCAUCCUUUCUCUUCCCAAAAGAAGAGAGAGAGAAAGAAAAGAAAAAAAAGCAAAAAAGUAGUGAAAGGAUGAAUUUGUCAAUUUAUUAAUUUAAUUUUAACUUUUUACUAUUGACCGUUAGUUUAACAGAAAAACUGACACUUUUACCCAAACCGUGAGGAGAUUAUAUGUAGAUUUUUAAAUUAUAGGGGCUUAUGUGUUAAAGCAUCCAACCAUAGGGGAGUAAAAAGUAAUUCACUCAUCUUUUAAAGAUGAAUGUGCAGGAAAAAACUAUCCAAGUGAGCACUGACAAAUUUUAGUAACCGUAAUAAAUAAACAAAUAAAAUUAGGAAUAAAGAAUGUGAUUGAAGAUGAUUAAAAAGGAAAGAUAUGAGUUGAUUGACUAAAACACAAAGAAGUUACCAUUAAUACAAAUUUAUAUAAGAUAGAUCAUUAAUAGAUUUGUUGAAAUUGACUAUAAAUAAAAAAAAAAACCAUGCUAUAAAUGAAGAAAAAAAAAGGAAGGGAAUUAAUUGUUACCAAAAAAUAGAAAAAGAAUAAAAAAUAAAAAAUAUGAACAUUAAAAAUGCCCAUGUAGCGAAAAGAUAAAUUGUCCACUUAGCAGAAGAUUAGAGUAGCCACCUUAGCAAUCUACUAAAAUCGAAACUGGACAUUGUUUUAUUAUAUAUGGUCAGUUCACAGGUGUCCAUUGAGCACUCGUUAAGAUAUAAUUUAAGUGUUAGAUUUUUGGAAAGAUAAGAUUAAUUAAGAAAAGUGUAUGAAUGUAAGAAAAAGUAAUAAUUGUUAGUAUGUGUAUAUACAUGAUAGGUUAGGUGAAGAAUGAGCACCCGUUAAAAAAAUUCAUUAUAUAUAUAUAUAUAUAUAUAUAUAUAUAUAUAUAUAUAGACACACAAACACACUUAUACUUACUAGAAUUCUGACCUUUAUAUACUAUGCACGGGUUAAGAUUUCAAAUUAAAAUAGUAAAACUAUUAUUGUUGAAAAAAAGUUAUUUCAAGAGAAAAGGCUAAAAGUUAAAAAUAGUAUUAGUUUUACUGUCAAUCUCUAUGAAAAUGUGGUAUUUUAAAUGAAGGUAAAAGGCAAAAAAUUUUCACUCGUGGAAGGUAUGCAAUGACACAUCAUCAACUUGGAAAAACUCUUAAAUUUCCUAAAAAUUAUGCUUAAUUAUCAUCUAUUCUUGCACUUGCCUAUGAAAAAUUUUCCCAUCUUAAAAAAAAAAAUCCUUUCUUUCGUCAUAUUAUACCCUAAGAAUUUAGUAUAGGGAUAAUAUCAGAAAUCUGCCCUGAGGUUUCUCUUAAUAUCACCUGACACCCCUGAGGUUUUAAAAAUAUCACUUAUCUCCCUUCCUUUUGUUAUUUGUGUAACAAAAUUUUUAAAAACCCUAAACUACUCUAUCACUUGCUAAAUAAAAAUAUUGCUAAAUCACUUUAUUCACUUCAAUAAAUCCAUCACCUAAAAAACAAUCUCUUGUAGUAUUACCACAUCACAAUUCUAUACCCCAUAAAAGAAUAAAUUUAAAAAAUAAAAAAUAUAUUUUAAAAGAAAUACACUUGCAUCAAUUUAAUUCUAUAUGUUAAAAACCGAUUUUUUGUGAACUUAUAUUUUUUUCCAACAUCUUCUGAAUCCUUAUUCAAAUUGUUAAACUGUACCAAUUAUUAUAAAAAUCAACUCAAAAUAAGCAACUAAAUCAUAGCCACUUUAUCACAAUCACAAAAAUUAAAAGAUAAACAAAAUUUAAUUUAUUAUAAUUUACAAAGAAAAUAUUGCAUGGUCAUCCAAAAAAUAUGAGUAAGUGAGAAUGAUGAAAAAAAGGAAAAAAGAUGAACGUGACUUUCUUUUCUUUUUUUAAAAAAUUUGAGUUUCAUUUAUUUGAUAUGUUGUGAAUUAUGUGUAAGUGAGAGUUAACAUAGUCUUUUUACCAUUAUUAGAAUAUUAGGGGAGGUAAGUGAUAUUUUUAAAACCUCAGGAAUGUCAAGCGAUAUUAAGAAAAACCUCAAGGGAGGUUUCUGAUACUAUCCCUUUAGUAUAUUCUUAAGCUACUUAUGAUUCUAUGAAUACCAAAAAAAAAAAAAAAAUUGUACCUAUGGUAUUAGUACUAGAUAACAUUUUGUUAAAAUAACUACAUUUAAACAAAGAAAAUAAGACAUUCAAAAAUAAAUAGAAAAAUGCCCAAAUAAGAUAACAAAACCUAUUACACAAGAUCCAAAAGAUACGCCAAACACAUAUAUCAUUUCUUUCCUUCUCAGUCCCUUCUUCGCUAUCUACCUUAUGCUAUAACCAACUUUACACGCUGCUGUCUCCUUUCCCUUUGGCAUCCCUCCAUCCCCUUCCCCUCACCUAACCCUCCAAUCAUACUCUUGCAUCCCUCCAUCCCCUUCCCCUCACCUUUGCCUUUAAUCCUAUCCCGACUAGGGGUGGGCACGGGUCGGGUACCCGCCCCUAACAUGAUUUGGCUGACCCGACCCUAAUAUAUCGGAUCAGCCAUUUUGCGACCCUAACCCGCUCCUAAUAUUUUCGGGUACCCGAAUAGCGGGUACCCGAAAAAAAGGAGCGGGUCAUAGGAUACCCGCCCCUAAAAAAACUAUUUUUCAAUAAAAAAAAAUUAUUUUCUACUUAAUAUCAACAUGUUUUUCAAUAAAAAAACAUGCUUUUCCAAUUAAUAUUGGUAGAGAUAUUGUAAUUAAAGUCCAUACAUCACCAUUCUCACACAUUUCAUCCAAUAAUCAAAUCGAUCUCAUAAAUUUAGUACAUAUUAGAAUAUCUAAUGGACAAAAUGAAGUUUCAUAAUAAUUUUAAGUACAUCACCAUUUUCACACAUUUCAUACUUCUACAACACAACAAACACAAGGAUAAUAAGUAUUUAGUAACUUCCCCAAGGAUAUUAUGGUACAAGACCGCAUCUCAAAUAAGUCAAUUGUGAAAUCAAGUUCGGAGAAGAAUUGAAUAGAACUAAUUAUUUUUGAAAAAAAAUAUAACCAAAAUAAUGUUAAAAAUCUUCCCCAACUUCUUUACAUCUUUGGAAUAGACCUUAUGGUAUUAAGGUGAUGAAAAAGAAAAAUAAAUUUCUUACACUAAAUAAAAGAGACUAAUUUAAGAGAUAUAAUUGCAAAUGAAUGACACAAAUAUUUUAAUUAUCUAGCUAACAGAAAAUUGAAACUCCAAACAAAAAUCUUUGAUUGAAUUGAUGCAAGAUUUGCAGGAAAGAUCGAUCGAGGUAGAAUAAAAAUAAAAAAGAUGAAAGGGAUGAACAAUUUUUAUAAUAGAGUUUCACAAAUUUUUUUUUUCAUUUUGUUCAUGUUUCACCGAGAAUAUUCGCUUUCUUCAAAAAAAAAAUGAGAAGAGUAGAUCAUAUAGGAUUAGAAUAUGAGGCUGCGAGCCACUUCACUUGCAGCUUAGAAUUAAAAAUUAUAAAAUGAUCCCUACUUUUUUAAUAUUUAUAAAAUAUACCCUGCGGGUCGGGUACCUAUUUUUCCUAUCAGAUCGGAUCGGGUUCAUCGGAUUUUCGGAUCGGCGGAUUUUUUUGCCCACCCCUAAUCCCGACCUAUCCCCACUACCCUAUGGAUACACUCUUAUGGUUCCACUAUCAUUAUAAUUUCUAUACUUUAUCUUAUAUUUUCUAUAUGUGCAACACUAAUAAUGAUUCAACCAAUCAUUCUUUUAAUUUUUAGUAAAAAAAUUGAAUGUGAAGUAAUGUUAGAAAUUAUUUUGGUCUUUUGAACUCAUUUCUCCAUAUUUAAUACUACAUAAAUUCUAAACAAAUUGCUAUUGUUUCUUUAUAAACAGUAUAAAAUAUGCAAAAAAUAUUAAGUCAAUCAACCUAGGAAAUAACCAUUUUACCAUAAUAAAUUGAUAAUAACAAUACAUCAUUUUCUAACAAUAAAAUUCAAUUCCAUACCAUACAUACACAUACACACAUAUAUAGAAUUAAUAUUUUAUACACUGACAGUAUAUACACCAUUAUCAUUAGAUGCAUGACAACUUAUCUGAAUUAAAAUUUGAAAUCCAAAUUUGACUCAUGGGUCAUGUAUUAACCGUAAUAGUGUAUACACUAUUAGUAUAUAUAAGAUUUACUCAUAUAUAUAUAUUAAAUUAUAUGUAUUAUUCAUAUAUUGUAUUAUAUUAUAUUAUAUUAUUUUAUUAAAUUAUAAGUGGAAGGACCCACCCCCAGCUCUAUUUCUUCCAUUCAUGAUACUAUUCUCCUCUUAUCCAAUAACCCUACCUUCCUUGUUCUUGAAAUCCUUUUCUUUCCUCUCACCGUGCUGGCCUCAUAAUCCCUCUCUUCCACUCAAUAAUUUCAUCUCCUCCCUACCCUUGUAGUUCUGUCUAUUACCUCCCUCAACAUACUUACUCCAUCCUACCAAUUGCUCUUUUCCACCUCUUAACCCUAUUUUUUCCAAUUCAUGACUUAUUUCAUUACACCUAAAAAGUUUUGGCUAAAUCCAAUGUCAAAAUUUUGAUAAGUGGGAUCAACAUAAAUUUCAUAAAAUUUUGUAUAUUUGAAAUUUUUCUAUAAAUAACCAUUGAAAAAAUUCUCAAAGAUUCCUAAAAUGUUCCUGAAAUGAACCAUCCAAAUACAUCCUUGUUUAUUUGAGUUCAUCUUAGUAGAAUUUAUUUACUAUAUAGCUCAUCUUCAAAUAUUUGUGUGCAUGUGCUCGAGCUUGUGGAUGUAUCAAAAACAUAUUUUAUAUAUGUCUAAAUUUAGUAAACGAAGAAGAAGUUUACAUUAGUCAAAAGCAUAAACUUUUGGUCUAAUGUCAACAAAAUCUAGAUAAGAAAUUAAUAAGAGUUCAGAGUAUCAUUUGAAUCUUUAUGAUGAAAAUAUUUUCUCUUAUAUAUAAAUGAUAGAUAUUGUUAUGUCAAAUCUUGGGAAUCAAGAAAUAUGAUACAAGCAUUAAAGAGUAAAAUGAUAAAUUCAUUAAUAUAGUGUACUCAAUUUCCUAAGAGGAUUGUAAAUCAUAGUUACUAAAUUGUAGCAUUUAUGUUAUAUUAUUUUUAUUUUUUUUAUAAUAUUUGCAUAUUGAUGUUACCUUACUGUAAAAUAGGAAUACUCAUAUUGAACUUGUUAGAUUUAAUUUGUAUCUUUUCCAAGGAAACAUGAGAGUAAUAUAUUUCAAGCAAGAUUAGUAUUACCAUAUGAUAGGUAGAAACUUUCCAAGUUUAAGUUAUGUAUUUGCAUUUGUAAGUUGAAAAAUAAAAUAUUAUAAUGGAAAAUUUUUUAUAUUUACUCUUAAGAUUUGAAUCUAUUUCCAAUUUUAAGUAGUAUAAUAUAAUUCUCAUAAGUUUGUAUUAGGUAGGAUUAGUGCAUUUAAGUACAACUGCUAUAUGAUAGGUAAGAAUUUUUCAAAUCUAAGCGAUACAAUUAUGGUAGAUUCCAUUCAAAUGUUGAAAAGAAUUUAUUACGACUAAAAUAAUUAAAAAUUCUAUAAAAAUAGAAAUGCAGAAUUGGAAGCUCAAUGGGAAUUUCAAACUGAAAAAUCAUCUUAAAAUAUUAUAUACAUGUAUGUAUGUGUGUGUGAAAAUUAGGGCUGCUAAUCGAACCAUCUAAAGUGGGACUUCAAAAAGCCCAAACUCGACUCACUUAGUUUGUAAGACAUUUCAGAUUCAAGCUAAUAUAUAUGAAACUCAUAUUUGACUCAUAGUACAUUUGGGCUUUGAACCCCAUUUGGGUUUAGACUAAACUUACUUAUUAUUUCUUAAUUUCUUUAAUAUAAUUACUAUAACCAUUAAGUAGUAAAGUUAGUUUACAACCUACAGUAUCAAAACUACUCAUAAAUCAGUAAAAUGUUGAUUAAAAGUACAUAAAUUAAUACUAAUAGGGCCUUCAGUUUCAAAUCAUGUAAUAGGCUAAUAGUAAUAGUCAUUAGUCAACACACUACUAAUAGGUCUUUCUCUUUAAAUAUAUUUAUUUAAUAAAUCUAAGUCUCUUCAAAACCAAUACUAAUUGCUAAUAGUCCAAUUAUACAUUACAUAUUUAGAAAUAAUAAAUGUAUAGGUAUAUACAUUAGGCAUAUAUGUAUAUAUAUAUAUAUAUAACGGGCUACAAUUUAAUUGGAUUGAACCUAUAGAGGCCCAAACUCGAAUCACAUUUUAAUCAUACAUCAAAUCUAGGCCCAAACUUUGUGUGACCUAAAAUUAUAGUAGGCUCGGCCCUUUUCUUUCGAGCUGAAUUCGGUUUGGCCCGGGCACCUUAACAGCCCUACAAUAUUAUAUUAUUUUUUUAUCUCCAAAAAAUAAACCUAUUAUUUUUAUUCAGUCCAGCGAUUCACUAUAAUAAAAAUUAAAAGAUUUGUACAUUUAAGCCAUUCACAGUACACCCUUAUGUAAUAAACAAUAAUUUGACAUCCAUAAACUCAAUCAAACAAGUUUAGGAAGAUUCCAACUCCAAAAAUAAAAAUCAAUUAGUUUCGGGGGCUGUUAGCGUUGGCGAAAGAGGGUGGAGAAAAGGAGAAGGUGUGGGAAAAGGGGAUUGGGAGAUGGCUAUAGGAAGAUGGAGAGGGCUGUACGCAGGGGAGGUGGAGUGGUGGGCUUCAAAUCCUCUGUCCCCAAAGUAGUUUCUGUCCCCUCUGUCCCUUGUUUAUACAGUUGUCAUGUGUCUCUAAUCUUUUGUUAAUCCAAACUCAAAUAUAUCAAAUUUGAUAUUUAACAAUUUGGUAGCUUAAUACAUUCAAAUUUUAAAUUUUAGUUGUCGGAUUUCAAUUUUAUCAAACAGACCCUUCAUCUUCAUCUGAAGUGCUAAAGUUGUGAUUGUUUCGUUCGUGGGUUGCGACAUAGGAUGAAAUCGCCUUGCUGUCAACUUGAUGUUUUGAUUGUGGGGUUGCUUGUACAUGCAAUGACUUGGUAUGAAAUGACCUUAGCUUAGCAGCAGGAAGGACCGUGGCCCCUAACUCUGGGACUUUCAUAAAGACGAGAAAACGGCCUUUCCAAGUUUUUGGAGAUAUUCACAGUAUACAGUAUACAGUCCUACAUCUUUCGCCUCUUUGCCUCAGUCCAUGUGGAGGGUCCCAUUUCCUACACCACCAAGAUUGUCUAAUAUCUUGAAUCUUCAUGGUUUUCUUGUCCCUAGCUAGUGACAAGAUCGAACCCUUUUUCUUUUUCCAUUCUUUUCUUAUUUGUUUUUCCAUAAUUUUGGCAUCACAUUUUUGGAUCAAGUAAGAAGGGGAAGCAAAUCUGAGACCUAUUCUCUUUGGGAAAAAUAAUGUCAGUUGUAUUGCUUUUUGUAAGAACUUGGUAUACAAAUGAUGCUAAAGUUGUUAUUCCCACGUAAUUAGCCUUUACAUGUUUCUGUAUAAAACGAUUGUUAAUAACGUGGAGUUAUUGUAUGCAUGAUGUGAAUGCAAUUCUUGCAAGAUGAUCAUUUGGAAUUGGCUGCUAAAUUACCAAGAAAAUUUUAUGGCUCAUGAACCUCUCAUUUUUCAUCUCAGGCCUAGUACAUAUACAUAAAUGCAUGAUUGCAUAACUACUUUUCAAGAAGCCGAGUGGUAAUGGUAUUAAAAGAAAAUUCAGUAUUCAAAAAUAUGGAAAAAGGUAAUUCUCAUUAAAGCACUUAAUUUUUGCUAUAACUUUCAUAAGUCCUAGCAUGUAAAAGUUCAAAAAUCGUAGUGUUUAUGGUCUAAGAAGUUGAGGUCUUCCAUUUUCCAAUGUAGUAAUUGCAGUAAACUAUUAAUUUAUCUAUGGGAAUUACACAUCCUAAAAUCAUUCUGCAAGUAGUUUAUUUUGGGGAAAAAGAAAGGGAGGAACAAGAUAAAGGUACAAAGAUUCUAUGACUAGAAUAAAGGGACCUAUAUACAAUAAUGCCUAUCGAAUAAUUUUCCUCUUAUAUAUUUACUGCUUGUCAGAAAAAAAAAAUUGAAGAACAAAAAACCUUUAGUAUAAAAAUUCAAGGUAUAUGUUGCCUUCAACAAUGAUUAUUUUUUUUAGACCUAUAGAUUCAAUGGAGAGAUCAUAUUUAAACACCUUUACCUGUAAAACUGAAAUAUACUGGUGGAUAGAAAAAGAAAAAAAAAAUUACAAGUUACUAUAAUUUGCAUGGUAAAUUAUAUUCUGUACAGUAAAUUUUUACCAUGAUGGACAAAUAAAAUGCUUAAAACAUACAUGACAAAUUCUUUCUCACAAGAAGAACAGAAUAUUGCAGCAUGGUCCUAAUGUGGCACACUGCUUAAUUUGUACCAUUCUAAUAUUAAAAGGGUGGCACUCCUACUUCACUGAAAGAUACACGUGCACCAAAAAUUGACAUUUAUAUGUAGACUUCUCCUAAGCAUUAUUUAGAGGGCAAUUAAAAUAAUGUCAUUGGGGGCAAUGAUAGUUUAAGCUACCAAGAACUGCAAAAUGUUUCAACCUAAGAAGUAUGAACUUCUUCUUCUUCUGGACAUAAUAAGCUAAAUUCCGGGCAAAGCUUGUUAUCACUCUUACAAUUAUCAGCAACAUUUCACACUCAUUAAUUCUAACAUAUCUGAUCUAACAAGGCAAAGCCUAGCUAGUGGUUUUCAGGUGAAGUCUGGCGGUUUUCUGGCAGGUUGGAAGGGGCCACAAGUGUUCCUUGACCGUACAAAGUGCUAAGCUGGUGAAAAUAAGGACAGGUCCUGGAGUCAAGUGACCUCUUCUUGUUGUUGUCUUUUGUCUUCCUGAAAUACUUGUUUAUAUUCUCCCAUUUCUCUUUGCAUCUUUUGGAGCUUCUCUUGUACCCCAACUCUAGCAUCCCUUGUGAGAUUCUUUCCCAUAGGGGACCCUUUGCACCUUCCUUGAUGCUGUCAUCAGAUGUACUGUUAUUGGUGAGACGACACUUGAGGUUUAUCAAUGCUUGGACUUCAUCUCUAGGCCAUCGCUUACCGGCGAUUCGCUCCCCCCUCUCAUUUGGUGCAGAAACCAUUUUCUGGGAUGAUUUUUGUGCUAAAGAUGGAUUUGGCUGUGAAGGGUUCUCAUGGUAUUUAUAAGAAUUGGUAUUAGGGUUUUGGGAUGUCGUGGGUAGUGUAGCUGAGGAGGUUGCUUGUGGAGUUGAGCAAUGGUUGUGAGGUGAUGGGGUGGUUUCUCCAGAUGAAGUUGGAUUGUUUCUUGAGAGCACCAAAGUAGGGUUUUGGUGGGAAAUAGCCAUGCUUGCUGAAGUGACUGCUUCGAGUUUAGUUUGGUCACUAUUGAGGCUGCUAGGGGGCAGAAUUUCAGAAGACGAAGUCACAGAAUUUGAACUAUUUGUUACCUUGAGAAGAUCUUCAAUUCUCCUUACUAAGCUUUGAUCUGCCUCAGAACCAGAUGUGAAUUUCUUAAGGAGAUCAAUUAUCUUGCCUUGUCUAUCACAUGCAAUGGCCUGUUCUUGUGCCCUCAUCUCAAUUUCCUUGUUGAUCCUAUCCAUUUCUUGACACUUCCAAGCUUCAUCUCUUGCGAUGCUUUCCCGAUCUCUUCUCACCAUGUCUUCAAUAAGUUUGUUGUGUAGCACUUC